RNAcentral lists this ribosomal RNA (774 nucleotides) under uncultured Neocallimastigales. Its description in RNAcentral is "partial large subunit ribosomal RNA". It matches the Rfam family "Eukaryotic large subunit ribosomal RNA", at positions 23 to 648 of the family's 3401-position model. Lineage: Eukaryota; Fungi; Neocallimastigomycota; Neocallimastigomycetes; Neocallimastigales. The record is from RNAcentral.
AGAGAUGUGUGAUGACGCAUAUCAAUAAGCGGAGGAAAAGAAACUAACAAGGAUUCCCUUAGUAACGGCGAGCGAAGCGGGAAGAGCUCAAAUUUGAAAUCUUCAAGGUUCUACCUUGACGAAUUGUAGUUUAAAGAAGCGUUUUCUGUUGGAGUUUUGGUAAAAGUUCUUUGGAAUAGGACAUCAUAGAGGGUGAGAAUCCCGUAUUUGGUCAUUCCUCCUAGCGUUGUGAUACACUUUCAAGAGUCGGAUUGUUUGGGAAUGCAGUCCAAAAUGGGUGGUAAAUUUCAUCUAAAGCUAAAUAUUGGCGAGAGACCGAUAGCGAACAAGUACCGUGAGGGAAAGAUGAAAAGAACUUUGAAAAGAGAGUUAAACAGUACGUGAAAUUGUCAAAAGGGAAGCGCUUGACACCAGUGUUGUUCUUCCGAAAAUCAAUUACGAAUGUUUUGUUUUUGAAGAGUUAUGACUUCAUCGGCUUGCUUCUUUCUUUACGAAACUUUCUUAAUGCACUUUUCGGUUAACAAGUCAACAUCAAUUUCUUUUGUUGUAAAAGGGUAUCGAGGAAGGUGGCUUUCUUUUCGGAGAAAGUGUUUAUAGCCUUGUACCUCUGCAAUCGGAGAGAUUGAGGUCUGCAGCGUAGAUCCUUCGGGGUUAGAUACAUUUGUGCUAAGUUAUAGCUUUUCAUAGACAACUUGUUGACUAUGUUUAGUCUUGUAGCUUACUCGCUUAUGCUAUUUUACCUACGCUUAGGAUGUUGACGAUCAGCUGAGCGCG